Molecule: long non-coding RNA, 260 nt
Filed under: Malus domestica (apple)
Lineage: Eukaryota; Viridiplantae; Streptophyta; Magnoliopsida; Rosales; Rosaceae
Description: long non-coding RNA (MDOM_LNC006188)
Source: RNAcentral
UAGUGGGCGAUUGUUACUCUUAACGAUCGAUUGUGAAUUGAAACCACAUUUCAAUUCUCCCUUAAAAUCAGUGUUUGCUAAUCUUUAGGGCUUCCACAAACCAUGAGUGACACCUAGCAGCAUAUCAUGGUUACCCAAGCUAAGUAGAAGUGGUUGGAGAACCUAUCUAGUUACAACUACAAUGCAAUACGGUCAUUCUCUAAUACAAUACUCUUAAUCACAUUGUUUCAGGUGAUAGUUUGUUUCAUGUCUACUAUCCA